UGAAAAAGAACCUGAAACCGUGUACGUACAAGCAGUGGGAGCACCCUUUGGGUGUGACUGCGUACCUUUUGUAUAAUGGGUCAGCGACUUAUAUUCUGUAGCAAGGUUAACCGUAUAGGGGAGCCGCAGGGAAACCGAGUCUUAACCGGGCGUUAAGUUGCAGGGUAUAGACCCGAAACCCGGUGAUCUAGCCAUGGGCAGGUUGAAGGUUGGGUAACACUAACUGGAGGACCGAACCGAC
Molecule: ribosomal RNA, 241 nt
Filed under: Salmonella enterica subsp. enterica serovar Cerro
Lineage: Bacteria; Pseudomonadati; Pseudomonadota; Gammaproteobacteria; Enterobacterales; Enterobacteriaceae
Description: partial 23S ribosomal RNA
Rfam family: Bacterial large subunit ribosomal RNA
Source: RNAcentral